RNAcentral lists this long non-coding RNA (1127 nucleotides) under Serinus canaria (Common canary). Its description in RNAcentral is "lncRNA (ENSSCAG00000001332.1)". The record is from RNAcentral. Lineage: Eukaryota; Metazoa; Chordata; Aves; Passeriformes; Fringillidae.
GGGCACCCAGCGGAACCUUCCGGAACCCCCCCCGGCCUCGGAACCUUCCGGAACCGCCGGGCACCCCCCGAAGGCAGAAAUGCCCCAAAAAACCCCAAAAUCGGGGCCAAAACGGAACCAGAAACCCCAAAAACUGCAAAAAACGGACCCAAAAACCCCAAAAUUGGGGGAAAAACUCGGGGAAAAAACUGGACUCGGAAACCCCAAAUCGUCAAAAUGGGGAAAAACAGAGAAAAAAAACCCCAAAAUCGGGGAAAAAAAUGGACUCAGAAACCCCAAAAACUGCAAAAAAUGGACCCAAAAAACCCCAAAAUUGGGGGAAAAUGGACUCAGAAACCCCAAAAACUGCAAAAAACGGAGGAAAAAACCCAAAAUCUGCAGAAAAUUGGGGAAAAAUGGACUCAAAAACCCCAAAAUUGGGGGAAAAAACGGAACCAGAAACCCCAAAAUCGUCAAAAAUGGACUCAAAAAAACCCAAAAUCUUCAAAAAAUGGGGGGAAAAUGGAGAAAAAAACCCCAAAAUCGCCACAAAAUGGGGCAAAAAAUGGACUCAAAAACCCCAAAAUCUGCAAAAGAAAUGGAGAAAAAAAGGAGUUUAAAAAGGCCCAAAAAUGUCGUUUUUUGGGUGAAAAAUGGACUCAAAAAAAGGCCAAAAAUCUGCAAAAAAUGGAGGAAAAAAAAUCCCAAAAUUUGCCAAAAAAUGGACUCGAGAAAGGCCCAAAAAUUUCAAUUUUUUGGGUGAAAAAUGGACUCAAAAAUGACCCAAAAUCUGCAAAAAAUGGGGAAAAAAAUGGACUCAAAAAGGCCCAAAAAUUUCAUUUUUUGGGUGAAAAACGGACUCAAAAAAAGGCCCAAAAGCUGCAAAAAAUGGGUUUAAAAAAGGCCCAAAAAUUCAAUUUUUUUUUGGGUGAAAAACGGGAGCCGGAGACCCCAAAAUCUGCCAAAAAACGGACUCGAAAAUGGCCCAAAAAUUUCAUUUUUUGGGUGAAAAACGGGACUCAAAAAACCCCAAAAUUUGGAUUUUUGGGGCAGAAAAUGGACCCGGAAACCCCAAAAUUGUCGUUUUUAAGGUGAAAAAAACGGACUUUAAACCCCCAAAAUUUGGAUUUUUUGGGGUAAAAUCGAAG